AUGGCGGCGGCGCGGUCGGCAUUGGCGUCUGCCGGCCGUGCGGCGAACGAGGCCGUCAGCUUCGUGGUGUUCAUGCUGCUGGACGCGCUGGAGCUGCUGCUCUGCCUUCUCUACAAGGUCGCCGACUACGUGGCCGAGGGCGCGUGGCGGCCGUGCUACUGCUCGUCCUCGGCCGUGGCCGCGCCGGGGAAGAUCGUCGUGGCGGAGCGCGGCGGCUCCAAGGUGGUCAGCAUGCUCUCCUCCACCAAGCUGCUCCUGGAGGACGUCUCCGACACGCUGUACACGCGCCCGUCCCUGCUCGCCGGCGCCGCCGGGUCGUCGUCGCCGCCGUCCUUCUCCCGGCGCCGGGAGAAGGCCAGGCCGUCGGCGUCGGCCACCACGCUCACCGUGCACUCGGCCAUCGUGCAGAUCCUGCGGGGCAAGGCCGCCGGCGCCGGCGACGACGAGCACAAGCCGUACCCCUCGCCGCGUUGGUCCGACUGCCACUGCGCCAACUGCAACCCCGCCGACGCCGACCGCCUCUUCGUCCACGUCGAGGGACCCCACGACGGCGGCGACACGGAGGAGGACGUGCUGUUCAUCCACGGGUUCAUAUCGUCGUCCGGGUUCUGGACGGAGACGGUGCUGCCGCACGUGAGCCGGGAGGCGCGGGCGCGGCGGCGGCUGUUCGCGGUGGACCUCCUCGGGUUCGGGCGCAGCCCCAAGCCGGCGGACUCGCUGUACACGCUCCGGGAGCACGUGGAGAUGAUCGAGCGCUCCGUCAUCGAGCGGUACAAGGUCGGGGCGUUCCACAUCGUCGCGCACUCGCUCGGCUCCAUCCUCGCGCUCGCGCUCGCCGUCAAGUACCCCGCCGCCGUCAGGUCCAUCACCCUCGUCGCGCCGCCGUACUUCCCGGUGCCCAAGGGGGAGAUGGGGACGCAGUACGUGCUGCGGGCGGUGGCGCCCCGGCGGGUGUGGCCGGCGAUAGCGUUCGGCGCGUCGGUGGCGUGCUGGUACGAGCACCUCGGCCGCACCGUCAGCAUCGUGCUCUGCAAGCACCACCGCCUCUGGGAGCUCGCCUUCCGCGUCUUCACCUUGUACAGGGUGAGGACUUACCUGAUGGACGGCUUCUUCUGCCACACCCACAUCGCCUCGUGGCACACCCUCCACAACAUCAUCUGCGGCAGCGCCGGCAAGAUCGACAAGUGCCUCGAGGCCGUCCGGGACCAGCUCACCUGCGGCGUCAACAUCUACCACGGCGGCGACGACGAGCUCCUCCCCGUGGGCUGCAGCUACGCGGUGCAGUCCAAGAUCCCGCGCGCCAACGUCAAGGUGAUCGACGGCAAGGACCACGUCACCAUCGUCGUCCAGCGCCAGAGGGAGCUCGCCAGGGAGCUGGAGGAGAUCUGGGACACCAAACGGUGA
This 1404-nucleotide ribosomal RNA is filed under the name Triticum aestivum (bread wheat). RNAcentral's name for it is "partial small subunit ribosomal RNA". The record is from RNAcentral. Lineage: Eukaryota; Viridiplantae; Streptophyta; Magnoliopsida; Poales; Poaceae.